Helianthus annuus (common sunflower) is the source of this 1460-nucleotide long non-coding RNA. RefSeq lists it as uncharacterized. The record is from RefSeq and is a predicted model, not a curated record. NCBI's taxonomy places the organism in Eukaryota, Viridiplantae, Streptophyta, Magnoliopsida, Asterales, Asteraceae. The transcript is spliced from 10 exons.
ACAAGUUUGUAGCGCAACGCUUCAGUGACGAUGAGGUUCUACUACCACGUAUACCAAAGGAUUUAUUUGUUUUAGAUGAUACAUGUAAAUCAUUCUAGCUUCAACUUAUGUGUCGCUUACCCAACUUUGCUAAUUUUUUUUUGUAUAGAUAUAAUGACUUUACUUAUGUGAAAAGAUACAUUAACUGAAGAGGAAGCUUGGUUUUAUGUCGGAGAAACUGUUUUGGCAAUCGAAUCCAUUCACAAACAUAACUAUAUUCAGAGGAAAAUGAUUUCACUGCUGCAAAGAACUUAAGUGGGGCUCUUCAAAGUGACGGACGCCCUGCUGUACCGAGACGCACUCAACAGGAGCAACUGCAACAUUGGCAGAGAAAUAGGAGGAUGCUGAUUGGAGCUCAUCAAUUCAAGGUUAGCAAUGGGGAUUGCAUAUUCACAGAAAAGUUAAAGUUCUAUGAAGUGAAUGAUAAGGCCUUAGAUGCAAAAUUAAUUAUCUUUAAGAAAAAGAGAAGAAAGAAUUAUUGAUGAAUAAAAUGUCAUAGACAGAGGUGAGUUUACUCACCAUGUUAAAUCCGUGUCAAUGUCUAAUUUUACUUCACAAGAAGUUGAAGCCCUUAAAGAAGGCAGUAAUCAGCGUGCAAUGGAAACAUUUAUAAGAGAUUGGGACCCACGAGAACAUAGACUUCUACAUAACAGGUGAUGCACCUUUAUACUUUUACGUUUUUACAUUUAGUGUUUGAGUAGAAAGAAUGUUAAUUUAGUUUUUUAUGCAUGCUCGCUAUUACAACAAUGUGGAGAAAGUUUGAGAUAUUAUAAAGAGUGUCUACGUGGAUAAGAAGUUUUUCACUUCAAAGGCGUCCGAAAAACCUCCUAGAGAUGCAAUGGAUGGUUCGGUUCUAUAUUGGAUGUGAUGGAAGUUGUUUUGAAGGCAUUUGCACCAAGGAGGUACUAUGAAAUCGACCUCCAUUAACGGCGUGAAGAUGUAUACAGUUGCAGGAUAACAUCGCUCGCUGGCCACUUGGCUACCGCCGAAGAAGCUUAGAGCUCUUCGCAAAGACAAAAAUUACACGGAAAGGGUGGAUUUGAUCCAAGAUUUAAGAUUUGUCAACAUUCUAAAGCCAUUGGUACAUAAUUGCACGCCAAUUACUCGACAAAAUGUCUCAAUGAAGUGCUGCCAUAAAAAUUGAAGUCAUAACGAUGUCCAGCAGAGUUCCAGCAAUAAGCAACUAACACACUUCUACUACAAAUUGCACCACCAAUAUAAUGGACUCGAUUUACUAAGGGAAAGAUUUUGGCAAAUCGAAGGAUAUGAUCUUCAAAAGGACUCGGGAAACUAACUAAUUUUAAGAACACUAAUCAUGGAUUCUUCUGAAGAUCGCUGCGACCAAGGUGAUUUCGAAUUUGCGUUUAAUAAUAACAACUUCUCUGAUCGUGUUCUUCGCAUCUAUAUCUUUGAUGAGUCUA